GACGAACGCUGGCGGCGUGCUUAACACAUGCAAGUCGAACGGAAAGGCCCUGCUUUUGUGGGGUGCUCGAGUGGCGAACGGGUGAGUAACACGUGAGUAACCUGCCCUUUACUUUGGGAUAACUUCAGGAAACUGGGGCUAAUACCGGAUAGGAGCUCCUGCUGCAUGGUGGGGGUUGGAAAGUUUCGGCGGUUGGGGAUGGACUCGCGGCUUAUCAGCUUUUUGGUGGGGUAGUGGCUUACCAAGGCUUUGACGGGUAGCCGGCAUGAGAGGGUGACCGGAGACAUUGGGACUGAGAUACGGCACAGAAUACUACGGGAGGCAGCAGUGGGGAAUAUUGCACAAUGGGCGGAAGCCUGAUGCAGCAACGCCGCGUGCGGGAUGACGGCAUUCGGGUUGUAAACCGCUUUCGCCUGUGACGAAGCGUGAGUGACGGUAAUGGGUAAAGAAGCACCGGCUAACUACGUG
Molecule: ribosomal RNA, 468 nt
Filed under: uncultured bacterium
Lineage: Bacteria
Description: partial 16S ribosomal RNA
Rfam family: Bacterial small subunit ribosomal RNA
Source: RNAcentral